CAAUAGCGUAUAUUAAAGUUGUUGCAGUUAAAAAGCUCGUAGUUGAAUUUUUGCUUGCCGCCGAUGUCGGAACUUCCGUACGUUCGGCGGCGUGCAUCCUUGGGUGGAACCUGUGUGGCAUUAGGUUGUCGUGCAGGGGAUGCUCAUCGUUUACUGUGAAAAAAUUAGAGUGUUCAAAGCAGGCUUACGCCGUUGAAUAUAUUAGCAUGGAAUAAUAAGAUAGGACCUUGGUACUAUUUUGUUAGUUUGCGCACCGAGGUAAUGAUUAACAGGGACAGUUGGGGGUAUUCGUAUUCCAUUGUCAGAGGUGAAAUUCUUGGAUUUCUGGAAGACGAACUACUGCGAAAGCAUUUACCAAGGAUGUUUUCAUUAA
Molecule: ribosomal RNA, 373 nt
Filed under: uncultured eukaryote
Lineage: Eukaryota
Description: partial 18S ribosomal RNA
Rfam family: Eukaryotic small subunit ribosomal RNA
Source: RNAcentral